Molecule: unclassified non-coding RNA, 200 nt
Filed under: fungal sp.
Lineage: Eukaryota; Fungi
Description: partial internal transcribed spacer 2
Source: RNAcentral
UUAAGUUCAGCGGGUAUCCCUACCUGAUCCGAGGUCAACAUUUGGAGAAAUUAAUCGCGAGACUGGUGCCAUCGCCCCAACGUGACGACAUGUAUGCGCCCGUGGUUUGACGUACCAUCACUGAUUUUUAGGCAUGCCCCAAGGCAAGGCCCAACGUCAAGUUAACCAGAAGUUUGAACUUGAGGGGUGUAAUGACGCUC